UACGAAGGGGGCAAGCGUUGUUCGGAAUUACUGGGCGUAAAGGGCGCGCAGGCGGCCGAUCAAGUCAGAUGUGAAAGCCCCGGGCUCAACCUGGGAAUAGCAUUUGGGACUGGUCGGCUAGAGUUCGGGAGAGGAGAGUGGAAUUCCCAGUGUAGAGGUGAAAUUCGUAGAUAUUGGGAAGAACACCGGUGGCGAAGGCGGCUCUCUGGACCGAUACUGACGCGUGAGGCGGCGAAAAGCGUGGGGAGCAACAGGAUAG
Molecule: ribosomal RNA, 259 nt
Filed under: uncultured bacterium
Lineage: Bacteria
Description: partial 16S ribosomal RNA
Rfam family: Bacterial small subunit ribosomal RNA
Source: RNAcentral